Molecule: ribosomal RNA, 402 nt
Filed under: bacterium
Lineage: Bacteria
Description: partial 16S ribosomal RNA
Rfam family: Bacterial small subunit ribosomal RNA
Source: RNAcentral
UGGGGAAUUUUGCACAAUGGGGGAAACCCUGAUGCAGCGACGCCGCGUGAUUUAGAAGGCCUUCGGGUUGUAAAAAUCUUUUCUAUGGGAAGAAAAUGACAGUACCAUAGGAAUAAGGACCGGCUAAUUACGUGCCAGCAGCCGCGGUAAUACGUAAGGUCCGAGCGUUGUCCGGAAUCAUUGGGCGUAAAGGGUACGUAGGCGGGUAAGCAAGUUAGAAGUGAAAUCCUAUAGCUCAACUAUAGUAAGCUUUUAAAACUGCUCAUCUUGAGGUAUGGAAGGGAAAGUGGAAUUCCUAGUGUAGCGGUGAAAUGCGCAGAUAUUAGGAGGAAUACCGGUGGCGAAGGCGACUUUCUGGCCAUAACCUGACGCUGAGGUACGAAAGCGUGGGUAGCAAGCAGG